This is a long non-coding RNA of Pocillopora damicornis (cauliflower coral), 624 nucleotides long. The record is from RefSeq and is a predicted model, not a curated record. Lineage: Eukaryota; Metazoa; Cnidaria; Anthozoa; Scleractinia; Pocilloporidae.
ACACACUGAUUAAAGCUGUCCUGCCGUAUGUGAAACUGGUAGAUAUGGUUCUUGUUGACAGUGGAGCCUAGAUUUGGAGGACAAAAGUUCAUGAUAGACAUUAUGCCAAAGGUCAAACACCUUAGAACUAAGGACAUUGAAGUAGAUGGUGGAAUAGGAAUUCCUACAAUUGAAGCAGCUUCUCAGAAUACCAGUGGAAUCAGAACAAGUUGUCUCAUUGUUUCACUGAAAUGACAGCCCCUUUAUCCCUGUGAUGUUGAGAUAUGCAAAUGUUGAUUUGAUGCUUUGGCUGUGGCAUUUUGAAAGACAAAACUUUUGUUUUCUGAAACAAUGCGGAACAAAGCAAGCUGACUGUGUUGAAUAACAAAAGUAAAAACAAGCAAACAUGCCUUUGAAUGCAUGUUGGCCAUGUACCUCUGAGCUGUACUGUACAAAAGCUUUCAUUUUCACCAUCUUGAAGUCACUGGACAGAGUCAUCCCAUAAGUUAUUGCCAGAGAAUUAAGAUGAUUAGUGAUACAAUGGAUACUAGCCAAGGCUUUGCUCAUAAACUGGUCAUGAACUAGUCAGCACAGAAAUUGGAGGCAUGGUCACUCAUAUCCAACAAAGUAUAAAGGGGGGAGAGA